This 2238-nucleotide long non-coding RNA is filed under the name Centruroides sculpturatus (bark scorpion). Its description in RNAcentral is "uncharacterized LOC111639224, transcript variant X2". Lineage: Eukaryota; Metazoa; Arthropoda; Arachnida; Scorpiones; Buthidae. The record is from RNAcentral.
UAAAAAUCGUUUUCAAACAUAAAGUCUUUUUAAUAGAAGAUAAUUUUCUGUUGAGAAAUAAUCCAUCGUAUUUCACAUCCGAUUUUUACUUAUUUCCGAAUUAUACGAAAUUUAAAAUUAAAACGAAAUAUUGGCCAUUUAUAGUAAUGAUUUAAAUUGUUUAACAUAAAAUUUUCGACGUAAUAAGUGAUGCAUUUGUUACGACGUCAUACAUCAUUAACAAUAGUUUUCAAUUGUUCUUUAUUUUAUUGUUUGUUGCCAAAAAUGAAGAGAAGGUCUUUCUGAAAAUUUUGAUUGUUUUUCUCUUUAUUUCGAAACCUUCCUCAGAAUUUUGAUUUGGUUACAUGUGUUAAAAAUAUUUUACAAGAAUAUCACUUUUUGGAUUGUGUUGCUUCAAGAUCGAGUUUUCUUUUGACAUUUCUUCCUCGCGACACUAGAAAGAAGAAUCUCAGGCUUACAAGAUAAUAUUUUCUCCGAAAAAAUAAUUCGCACUGGAAGUAACAUUUGACAGUAUAAGUUAGAAAAAAAGAUUUCUAUAAUGAUGAAUUCGGUUUCUGGACCGAAGACUAAAUGGCAGCAGCUAAGUAGCCGAUUUGUAAGAGGAUAUUGCAAGAAAUGAAUGGUAAUGCUGGCUGAAGCAAUAAUGAAAAAGAUUUUUGUUCUGAUUAUAGAAUUUCCAGGCUAGAAGAAACUUAAUAAUUAUCAUUGCAAAUAAGUUGAAAGAAAUAGUAAUUGUUUCCUUAUCUAAUUAUAAACAAUUUAUAUACCUGUAACCACGAACUUCAUAUGCAAUGUGCAAACAGGGUUCUGAAAAUGUGACAAGUCUUAAAAGCCACUAAUUAUAAACUAAGAUAGAAAAAUUAUAACAAGUAAACAACAAAAGUCUUUCCAUUAAACAAAAUGUUUAUUUCUGUUUUAAAGUUCACUGAUUUCUCACUUAUGAGUCGUUUUUCACUGGUCCUGGCUGAAGCCUAUGGGAGUUAAAGUCUAAAAUCUCCCAUUUGAACGAUUCUCAGUUUUAUACACUUACAUAUAUUUCAGACUAGUGUAUUUUUUCCUCUCUUUACUGUUGUGAUUGUCAAUCACAAGAACAGAGUGGAGUCACUUUGCCACGGGUCAAACAGGUAUCCAGGAAGAUAAAAGAGCAGAGAGAAUUAAAAAGUUAUAAAGUAAAAUUUGUAAGCAUUAUUUUGUUAUUUUUUAAUUACUCAAAUUAAAUAUUUGAUCCGCAAUAUGGAUUUAAUAAAUUUCUAAUUUAAUUUUGACCUAUUUUCGAAAAUGUUUGCCUUUUAAUAAGUAAUGCUUCCAUGCAAGUGGAAACAUUACAGAGAUUGUUGCCUAGCAAGCAGUUAGCAGUUAUGAACGAAAGCAAAACAAUUGUGGUUCAAAUUUAAUUGUAUUUAAAAUGCAUAAUACUUUAUCAACUGAGUGUCAAACAACGACCAGACAUGGAAAUGAGUCUCCCAAAAAUUUCAUGCAAGAUUAGUAACAGUUUACGAUGCUGGAACUGUGGACAAAGCUAAUGAUUUCUCAACAUGACUACUCUAGAACUACCUACUGCUUUCAUGUCAGAAGCCAUACAGAAACUGGUGUUUGAAGUUCUUGACAGUCCUCCUUACAGCCUAGAUUUGGCACCUUCAGACUUUUGGUCGAUUUCUAUUCUGAAGAGACGUCUCAAAGGAAUUGAUUUCGUCUGUGACGAUAUUCAAGCCGCCACGAGGAAAUGGUUUAGAGAACAACCUGAAGAUUUCUACAGAGAUGAGUUUGAAAACUGGUUAAACAUUAGAGUACCUGAAACAUUAGAGUAUCGAACACGAAAGAGACUAUCUAGAGAAAUGAAAUGCGUUAAUUAAAAAUUAGAAAUAUUGAACUUUGUUCAGUUUGAUAUCUUACUGUAGAGCUUGUACAUAAAUAUGGAGGCAUUACUUAGGAAGUCUCAUAUAUAUAAUUAGCUUAAUUAUUAUCAUAUUAUUAUAAUUAAUUGUAACAUAUUUUAUAAUUAUAUAUUUCAAUGUGUUAUAUAUAUAAUGUAAAACUAUGUGGUUACUUUCAAAAUGUAAACAAUUCCUACUUUAUUCAUUGCUAUUGCUUAUAUUUUUAGAUGCAUUAAUGACAAUAUCUAUAGAUAAGAAUUUUGCACUCGUUGUAAAGAUUAUUUAUAUCAAUUUGGUGUUAAUUCUUACGAUUUUUAACAUUUAAUCGUUCUUGUAUUUAGUUUAAAAAGAAAAAUCUGUUUUA